This 164-nucleotide ribosomal RNA is filed under the name Distichlis spicata (saltgrass). RNAcentral's name for it is "5.8S ribosomal RNA". It matches the Rfam family "5.8S ribosomal RNA". Rfam says of the family: 5.8S ribosomal RNA (5.8S rRNA) is a component of the large subunit of the eukaryotic ribosome. The record is from RNAcentral. Lineage: Eukaryota; Viridiplantae; Streptophyta; Magnoliopsida; Poales; Poaceae. RNAcentral also lists the same sequence under 5 other names.
CACAAGACUCUCGGCAACGGAUAUCUCGGCUCUCGCAUCGAUGAAGAACGUAGCAAAAUGCGAUACCUGGUGUGAAUUGCAGAAUCCCGUGAACCAUCGAGUUUUUGAACGCAAGUUGCGCCCGAGGCCUUUUGGUCGAGGGCACGUCUGCCUGGGCGUCACGC